ACUCUAACAGUUUUGUAUGGUUUCCACAGCAAAUUACUGCAAACUUAGUGUCUUAAAACAACACAAAUUUAUAUCGUAGCUUUGUAGGGCAGAAAUCUGCCACAGGUCUUAGUGGGCUAAAAUCAAGGUGUCAGCAGGGCUGCAAUCCUUCCGUAAGCUGUUUCCUCAUGUUUUUGGUUUUCUGGAAGCCACUCACAUUUGCUCAUGGCCCCCUUCCUCCAUUUCAGAGUCAGAAAUAAUAGAUCGUGUCCUCACCCUGCAUCUCUCUGGCCACCUCUGCUUCCAGCUUCUACCUUUAAGGACCCUUGUGAUGACAUUGGGACCAGCUUCAUUUCUCCAAAUGUCCUCCUCUCAUACCUCUCCUUGCACAUCAAGCUGCUCACCCUUUGUGCUUUUGCACAUGCUGUUUGAUUAUGAAACUCCAUGACCCUCCUCCUCAUGAUUCACUUGACUGACUAUUCAACGCUCAGUUCAGGUGGCUCUUCCUUCAGAAAGCCUUUUUCCAUCUACUGUCCUACUGCCCCUCCCAAGUUAAGAGCAGGUGCUGCAAACGGACUGCAUUUGUUGGGGUUGCUCAGCAGGAAAUUGGGGGGGCAGUGAGUGACUCACCAAAACUGAGGGAUACGAAAGGACAAUAGAAUAACAACAGAGAAAAACAUGAAGACAGAAAGGUGUGUGGACUUGUUUUUGCCCACUCUUUCAUUGAUGGUACAGCACUUUAAAGGCCCUCGCUUUAGGCGAUGGCUCCUUUCAUAACUUCCUAACUUUCAGGACCUGAAGGACUCAUCUCCUAUGCCUGUGUGUGUCACUAGGCUUUUGAGACAGCUUUAGAAAGGAAGGAAAUACUGUCGUAAACUACAACAUGAAUGAACCUUGAAGACAUUAUGCUAAGUGAAAUAAGCCUGUCACAGAAAAAAAAAUACGGUAUGAUUCCACUUGUAUGAAAUAUUUAAAGUAAGAAAAUUCAUAGAAAUACAAAAUAAAUGGUGGUCACUAGAGGCUGGAGAAAGGGGGAAAAGGAAGGUUGUUGUUUAAUAGGUAUAGAGUUUCAUUUUGCAACAUGAAAAAUCCUGGAGGUUUGUUUCACAACAAUGCGAAUAUACUUAACACUGUCAAACUCAUCCUUAAAAAUGGUUAAGAUUGUAAAUUUUGUUAUGUGUUUUUUACCUAGAAAAAUAAAUAAAUAAAAGCUUUGAGUAGUUUUCCUUCUAUGAGUUCUAAGAAAACUGUCUUCCUGUUUCUCCUGCGCUAAGAAGAUUACUAACUUUUCCCACAAAUAUUGGCAUGCAUAUUUACUGAAGCUUUUGAGCAAGACCAACAACAAUAGUUCCACUGUGAUGGAUUUCUGAAUACUGAAUGAGGCUGAGAGAAUUUUAAAAGAUUUGGACUCACUGUGACCUCUACUCACUGAAGCACUGAAGUUCAGAUUCCACUGCUCAAAGGGCAGACGAGUUUCCCUACUUACCAGAUGUCAGCUGAAGCAUGGUCCUUUUUUUUUUUAGCUGAAAGGCAACUCUCUCUGCAUUUUCUUUAUCAGCAAUGAAGCUCAAAGGAAAUGGCUUUCUGUGAACUAUGACAGUUUCUUUUUAUGGGACAAUUGUGUAUAUUCAAAUCUCAUUAUCCUGAAGCUUAUCUCUAAAAGUUAGUUAAUGAAGUUAACAAUACUCCUGAAAAACAUAAAAACAAACAUAAACAGACUAAUUUAUUUAUUUUAAAACAGGAACAAUACCAAUAGCUUUAUCUGAAAUAUACACAGAAUAUCAAAAUUUAUAUCAUUUUAGAAAUUUUAUGUGCAGUGCCAAGAUAGGUUUCCCUUAAUAUGCAAUUGACUUUUUCAAUGGACUUUUUCACAUUGUGAAAACAGUAAUUUAAUUUUCCCUGUUAACUUCUAAUUAGGAAUUGUAGACAUUUUUGGAAGAAGAAAGAGAGGGGCCCAUUAAAAACCUUUCAGUAUAUUCAGUAACUUUACUCCUUUGACACAAUCACUUCACAGAGCACCUCUUUUGAAUAGUUUCUUUUAUAAAUCUGAAUUUGUAUUUCUCAGUUCCUUUUAAAGUCCACUCAGCAGGACAGAGUUUUAAGUUAAAAUUUUGAGGGGAGAGAAAAAAUCCUUUCCAUAAACAACUUUUAGGAAUGUGGUAUAUAACAGUAGAUUUUCAGACUAUGUAGCUUUUCUUCUUACAAACUUUUAAGAGUGGAUUUAACUCUUGUCAGAAACAGUGAGGCCAAAGUGAUGAAAUAUAGUUUCCCGACCACCUCUUUUGGACUUUCAGUUUAUUUCAAGAUUGCUAUUAAUACUUAUACUUUACAAUAAUUCCCUGUCAUUAUUCUAAAAGGUAGUGUUCUUUGAGAGUUUGAAAGCCAAGUGGUUAGAAAUUUAGGAAGUGGAAGAUUUUCACUUGUAGCAUAAAAAUGGUAAAAAAAAAAAAAAAAAAGUACAGUAUUUCCUAAUAAUAUGAAAUUGAAACAUGAUAGCAAAUUUUAAAGAAAAGCAAAACUUAAAAAAAGAUAUACCCUUUAUAAUAACCCAAAUGUUUUUUAAAACAGAUUUCAGAUUAUUUCUGCCUGUGUUCUGGUUUACCUACCCUCUAUAGAUGGUAGAGUGGCUUCAGCUGUAACUUGGAAGUAAAUUUAAUGAACUGUCUUCUACCUUCUUAGAAUUUAAGUUGACUUUACCUUACACUAAGUGAAUUAAAUGACCACAGGUCAUGUUAGCAGAAAAUUACCCUCAGAGUGACUCUUAAACUAUUCUUAUUUGGUGUAUGUGGGGGCAGCAGCAUGAGGUAAGAAAAAGGAAUUGUGGAUCUAAAGCCAGAGGCUUGGGGUCAUUUGCAAGCUUCACUACCAAUAUCUAUACAUCUACCUUGAGCAAGCCAUGUAUACUCUUUCUCUCCAAUAGAAUAGAUACAAAAAUAAUUGCCCUGCCAUGUUAUUGGACUAUUAUCAGAAUCAAAUAAAAAUGUGAAUAAAAGAAAGAAAAAUAAUAAAAUUCUAGGAAAUACAAACCAUAGUAGUCUACGGCUUUAUCACAUUUAUAACAUAAUAACUUAGAAUCACGAAUUUUUUAAAUUAGAAUGGAAUAGAGAGCAUUUGCUAGUUUCUUGUUUCCUAACCGUUUUUAGGUCACAGACCUUAUUGGGAACUUAAUAUAAAUUCUGAACAUUGUAUCAGAAAAGUACACACACAUAUUCACAGGCACGAAAUAUUGCAUAUACUUUUUUGUGUGUUUGGUGUAUUGUGUGUGUGAAUGUCUGAUCAGUUUCAAUGCUUUCUUCUACAGAGUGGAUAAUGAAACUUAGAGAAAUGAAGAGACUGAAUUGAAGUCACACAGAAAGUUUGUGGCAGAGGUGUUUCUAGAGUACCUCUGCUAACUCACGCUCAGGUGCUCUGUUUCCCUAGACCAGGGACACUGAUGAGUGUCCUAAAGAGGAGCCUCGUUCAUUUCAAAGAGAGAUCUCAGGAGCAAAUACCAGACAGAGCCCUGGUAACCCUCACCACUUCUUUUAUCUGUUUUUUACAUUGGUCUUCCAAGACCCCAUCUUAUUUAAAAAAAUAAAGCUUGGAAACUGCUGCUGUAGGAGAAAAACACAAUUAUAAAUAUGAAGUGAGGAAAGAAAAGUAAUAGCAAAGUCAGAAAUUUCUUCUUAUCAUGUCCUUUCUGGAAGAAAAGUAUAGCUCCCAGAAAUUAUGACAUUCUUUAAAAACCACAGUGUCUGGUGGCCCAGAAAUGAGUAACUCUAAAAAUAUUUUCAAAAUUUAAUUCAGAAUUUUAAAGUCCCAAAAGAGUUAUCUCUAGAACUGUUUCACUAAAGAAUUCUACCAAAUGUUUAAGUAAGAAUUAACAUGAAUUUUUACAAUCUCUUAUAAGAAAUAGAAAAGAUGACACUUCAAAAUUUAUUUUAUGCAGCUAGUAUUACCCUAAUACCAAAAUGAGACAAAGACAGUACAAAAAAAGAAAAGCAAACUGGGAAAUCACAGACUAAUAUUCCUUGAGUAUAGCUGUAAAAAUUUUUGAACAAAUAAUAGCAAAUAAAAUUUGGCAAUAUAUAAAAAGAAUUAUGCACCCUGACCGAGUAGUGUAUAACUGGGUGAAAACAGGGCUGGUUGAAUAUUUGAAAAACAACCAAUAUAAUUUAUCAUAUUAACAGGCUGAAAAAGAAAAAUCACAUAAUUGUAACAAUUGAUACAAAAAACAUUUGAUAAAAUUCAACGUCUAUUCAUGAGAGAAUAAUUCAGAAAAUUACAGUUCAGAGAAAAACUCUUCAAAUACAAAAAACCUGCAUCUAAUAUCAUAUGUAAUGGAAAAACACUGAGUGCUUUUCUCCUAAGAUCUUGGACAAGGCAAACACAUCUGCCCUUACUCAAAAUAGAACCAAAAGUUCCAGCCCAUGUAAGAAAGCAUAAAAAGGAAAUAAAAGGCAUUAGGGUCAUAACAGAAGAAAUCAACUAUCCCUGUUUGCAGAAGUAAUGAUUGUCUAUGUAGAAUAUCCCAAAGAAUCUAUGAAGCUACUGUUAGAACGAAUAUCUAAUUUCACUAAGGUCACAGGAUACUAGAUCAGCAUACAAAAAUCAAUUUUAUUUCUGUAAACAGCCAUGAAUAUAUGAAAAGCAAAAAACAAAAUGUAAAACAUAAUACUAUUUUCAAUUAUUAACAAUGAGA
Molecule: long non-coding RNA, 4660 nt
Filed under: Homo sapiens (human)
Lineage: Eukaryota; Metazoa; Chordata; Mammalia; Primates; Hominidae
Description: HSALNT0111799
Source: RNAcentral